This 466-nucleotide ribosomal RNA is filed under the name uncultured bacterium. RNAcentral describes it as "partial 16S ribosomal RNA". It matches the Rfam family "Bacterial small subunit ribosomal RNA", at positions 28 to 507 of the family's 1533-position model. The record is from RNAcentral.
GACGAACGCUGGCGGCGCGCCUAACACAUGCAAGUCGAACGAGCGAGCGAGAGCUUGCUUUCUCGAGCGAGUGGCGAACGGGUGAGUAACGCGUGAGGAACCUGCCUCAAAGAGGGGGACAACAGUUGGAAACGACUGCUAAUACCGCAUAAGCCCACGACCCGCCAUCGGGUAGAGGGAAAAGGAGCAAUCCGCUUUGAGAUGGCCUCGCGUCCGAUUAGCUAGUUGGUGAGGUAACGGCCCACCAAGGCGACGAUCGGUAGCCGGACGGAGAGGUUGAACGGCCACAUUGGGACUGAGACACGGCCCAGACUCCUACGGGAGGCAGCAGUGGGGAAUAUUGCACAAUGGGGGAAACCCUGAUGCAGCGACGCCGCGUGGAGGAAGAAGGUCUUCGGAUUGUAAACUCCUGUUGUUGAGGAAGAUAAUGACGGUACUCAACAAGGAAGUGACGGCUAACUACGUG